AAGUGUUUAAAAUUAUACACUUGUAUUUUGAUUGUUAAUUUUAGAGUUUCACCUGUAGUAUACCAUCUUGUAUUAUUAUCGAUCUAAACCCGUCAAUUCUACGAUUUUCAAGCUUGUAUUAAAAAUUGAAUCACAUCAUACACAUUAAAAAAUCUAAUAUGUUAUUAAUUAUUAUAGUAUAUAAGAUUAUAAAUUUUCAAAACAAUAUGUAUGACUCAGUACUCAGUAGAAAGUUUUCUUAAAUCUAUUUUUGACCCAUUAUAAUAUUUUUCAUGUAUUGAACAGUUUAUAUUCGUUUUUAAAAAUUCAAAUUAGGGCAUAUGCGAAAAAACUCUAAUUAUUUUUUAUAACGAUGAUAUUAUUUUUUCGCAAAAAUAGAAUCAUAUAAAGAUGAGAAGUGAACUAUAAUAAUUAAUAAAAAUUAAUAUGAUAAUUUAGAUAUCAAAUCUAAUUUGUUGAUUUUAAUUGGUUACUUUUUUGGAAAUUAAUAAUGCAUUUCGUUUUUUAAUUAAAUUUAAUUAAUUAAAU
RNAcentral lists this small RNA (528 nucleotides) under Arabidopsis thaliana (thale cress). RNAcentral describes it as "ATSL112710". Lineage: Eukaryota; Viridiplantae; Streptophyta; Magnoliopsida; Brassicales; Brassicaceae. The record is from RNAcentral.